RNAcentral lists this ribosomal RNA (468 nucleotides) under uncultured bacterium. RNAcentral's name for it is "partial 16S ribosomal RNA". It matches the Rfam family "Bacterial small subunit ribosomal RNA", at positions 28 to 507 of the family's 1533-position model. The record is from RNAcentral.
GACGAACGCUGGCGGCGUGCUUAACACAUGCAAGUCGAACGGAAAGGCCCUGCUUUUGCGGGGUGCUCGAGUGGCGAACGGGUGAGUAACACGUGAGUAUCCUGCCCUUGACUUUGGGAUAACUUCUGGAAACUGGGGCUAAUACCGGAUAGGAUCUUCUGCUGCAUGGUGGGGGUUGGAAAGUUUCGGCGGUUGGGGAUGGACUCGCGGCUUAUCAGCUUGUUGGUGGGGUAGUGGCUUACCAAGGCUUUGACGGGUAGCCGGCCUGAGAGGGGGACCGGGCACAUUGGGACUGAGAGACGGCCCAGACGCGUACGGGAGGCAGCAGUGGAGAGUAUUACGCAGUGAGCGGGAGCGAGAUGCAGAAACGCCGCGUGCGGGAUAACGGCCUUCGGGUUGUAAACCGAUUUCGCCGGUAACGAAGCGUGAGUGACGGUAAUGGGUAAAGAAGCACCGGCUAACUACGUG